Molecule: non-coding RNA, 30 nt
Filed under: Mus musculus (house mouse)
Lineage: Eukaryota; Metazoa; Chordata; Mammalia; Rodentia; Muridae
Source: RNAcentral
UUCAAUUCCUAGCAAACACAUGAUGGUUCA